AAUUAAGCAUAUCAAUAAGCGGAGGAAAAGAAACUACCAAGGAUUCCCUUAGUAACUGCGAGUGAAGCGGGAAGAGCUCAAAUUUAAAUUCUGACGUGCCUCUGGUUGUCCGAGUUGUAGUCUGGAGAAGUGUUUUCCGUGUUGGACCGUGUAUAAGUCUCUUGGAACAGGGCGUCAUAGAGGGUGAGAAUCCCGUCUUUGACACGGACUACCAAUGCUUUGUGAUGCGCUCUCAAAGAGUCGAGUUGUUUGGGAAUGCAGCUCAAAAUGGGUGGUAAAUUCCAUCUAAAGCUAAAUAUAGGCGAGAGACCGAUAGCGAACAAGUACCGUGAGGGAAAGAUGAAAAGCACUUUGGAAAGAGAGUUAAACAGUACGUGAAAUUGGUGAAAGGGAAACGCUGGAAGUCAGUCAUGUCGUCCAGGUCUCAGCCUUGUUUUUGCUUGGUGCACUUUCUGGUUUGAUGGGCCAACAUCAAUUUUGACCGUUGGAGAAAGGCUUUGGGAAUGUGGCACCUUCGGGUGUGUUAUACCCCUUUGUUGUAUACGACGGUUGGGAUUGAGGACUGCAGCACGCCUUACGGCCGGGGUUCGCCCACCUACGUGCUUAGGAUGUUGGCAUAAUGGCUUU
RNAcentral lists this ribosomal RNA (627 nucleotides) under Tomentella segregata. Its description in RNAcentral is "partial large subunit ribosomal RNA". It matches the Rfam family "Eukaryotic large subunit ribosomal RNA", at positions 32 to 641 of the family's 3401-position model. The record is from RNAcentral. Lineage: Eukaryota; Fungi; Basidiomycota; Agaricomycetes; Thelephorales; Thelephoraceae.